Molecule: ribosomal RNA, 218 nt
Filed under: Klebsiella aerogenes
Lineage: Bacteria; Pseudomonadati; Pseudomonadota; Gammaproteobacteria; Enterobacterales; Enterobacteriaceae
Description: partial 16S ribosomal RNA
Rfam family: Bacterial small subunit ribosomal RNA
Source: RNAcentral
UCUCGGGUGACGAGCGGCGGACGGGUGAGUAAUGUCUGGGAAACUGCCUGAUGGAGGGGGAUAACUACUGGAAACGGUAGCUAAUACCGCAUAACGUCGCAAGACCAAAGUGGGGGACCUUCGGGCCUCAUGCCAUCAGAUGUGCCCAGAUGGGAUUAGCUAGUAGGUGGGGUAAUGGCUCACCUAGGCGACGAUCCCUAGCUGGUCUGAGAGGAUGA